UGGAGCUGAAAUCAGUCGAAGAUACCAGCUGGCUGCAACUGUUUAUUAAAAACACAGCACUGUGCAAACACGAAAGUGGACGUAUACGGUGUGACGCCUGCCCGGUGCCGGAAGGUUAAUUGAUGGGGUUAGCGGUAACGCGAAGCUCUUGAUCGAAGCCCCGGUAAACGGCGGCCGUAACUAUAACGGUCCUAAGGUAGCGAAAUUCCUUGUCGGGUAAGUUCCGACCUGCACGAAUGGCGUAAUGAUGGCCAGGCUGUCUCCACCCGAGACUCAGUGAAAUUGAACUCGCUGUGAAGAUGCAGUGUACCCGCGGCAAGACGGAAAGACCCCGUGAACCUUUACUAUAGCUUGACACUGAACACUGGUCCUUGAUGUGUAGGAUAGGUGGGAGGCUUUGAAGCGUGGACGCCAGUCUGCGUGGAGCCAACCUUGAAAUACCACCCUUUAAUGGCUGGUGUUCUAACGUAGACCCGUAAUCCGGGUUGCGGACAGUGUCUGGUGGGUAGUUUGACUGGGGCGGUCUCCUCCCAAAGAGUAACGGAGGAGCACGAAGGUUAGCUAAUCCUGGUCGGACAUCAGGAGGUUAGUGCAAUGGCAUAAGCUAGCUUGACUGCGAGAGUGACGGCUCGAGCAGGUGCGAAAGCAGGUCAUAGUGAUCCGGUGGUUCUGAAUGGAAGGGCCAUCGCUCAACGGAUAAAAGGUACUCCGGGGAUAACAGGCUGAUACCGCCCAAGAGUUCAUAUCGACGGCGGUGUUUGGCACCUCGAUGUCGGCUCAUCACAUCCUGGGGCUGAAGUAGGUCCCAAGGGUAUGGCUGUUCGCCAUUUAAAGUGGUACGCGAGCUGGGUUUAGAACGUCGUGAGACAGUUCGGUCCCUAUCUGCCGUGGGCGCUGGAGAAUUGAGGGGGGCUGCUCCUAGUACGAGAGGACCGGAGUGGACGCAUCACUGGUGUUCGGGUUGUCAUGCCAAUGGCACUGCCCGGUAGCUAAAUGCGGAAGAGAUAAGUGCUGAAAGCAUCUAAGCACGAAACUUGCCCCGAGAUGAGUUCUCCCUGAGACUUUAAGUCUCCUGAAGGAACGUUGAAGACUACGACGUUGAUAGGUCGGGUGUGUAAGCGCAGCGAUGCGUUGAGCUAACCGAUACUAAUGAACCGUGAGGCUUAACCUU
This 1171-nucleotide ribosomal RNA is filed under the name Enterobacter ludwigii. RNAcentral's name for it is "partial 23S ribosomal RNA". It matches the Rfam family "Bacterial large subunit ribosomal RNA", at positions 1762 to 2925 of the family's 2925-position model. The record is from RNAcentral. Lineage: Bacteria; Pseudomonadati; Pseudomonadota; Gammaproteobacteria; Enterobacterales; Enterobacteriaceae. RNAcentral also lists the same sequence under 1 other name.